This 396-nucleotide unclassified non-coding RNA is filed under the name soil metagenome. Its description in RNAcentral is "partial contains 5.8S ribosomal RNA, internal transcribed spacer 2, and large subunit ribosomal RNA". The stretch from base 1 to 122 matches the Rfam family "5.8S ribosomal RNA", at positions 35 to 154 of the family's 154-position model. The record is from RNAcentral.
GAUGAAGAACGUAGCGAAAUGCGAUACUUGGUGUGAAUUGCAGAAUCCCGUGAACCAUCGAGUCUUUGAACGCAAGUUGCGCCCGAAGCCAUUUGGUUGAGGGCACGUCUGCCUGGGCGUCACAUAUCGUUGCCCGAUGCCUAUUGCAGUGUGAUAGGAAAUUCUAGGGCGAAAGAUGGCUUCCCGUGAGCGUUGUUGCCUCGCGGUUGGAUGAAAAUUGAGUCCUUGGUAGGGUGUGCCAUGAUAGAUGGUGGUCGAGUUUGCACGAGACCGAUCAUGUGUGCGCUCCCCAAAAUAUGGACUCUUUGACCCCACACGCGUCUUUUGACGCUCAUGACGAGACCUCAGGUCAGGCGGGGCUACCCGCUGAGUUUAAGCAUAUCAAUAAGCGGAGGA